RNAcentral lists this long non-coding RNA (1880 nucleotides) under Equus caballus (horse). RNAcentral's name for it is "lncRNA (ENSECAG00000057833.1)". Lineage: Eukaryota; Metazoa; Chordata; Mammalia; Perissodactyla; Equidae. The record is from RNAcentral.
CCACAAAGUCCAUGAAGUCAUGGGUAGUGUGACACAUGAACUAAGAGACACCAAGUGGGGUGUUACACAUGAAGUCCAAAAUGCCAUGAGGGAGGGUUAACAUGAAGGCAGAAAUGGCAUGUGGAGUUUACACAUGAAGUCAGGGACGACAGGGGCAUUUUUACACACAAAGUCAGAGAUGCCGGGGACUGUUACACACAAAGACAGUGUGGAGAGAGUGAAGUCACGGACACCAGUGGUAGUGUUACACACCAAGUCCAAGAUGACAGGUGGAGUCUUGUGCAUGAUGUCAGAGGAGCCAGGUUGAGUGUUACACGUGAAGUAAGAGACCCACAGGGGAGUGCUAUCCACAAUGACAUAGACGACAGGGGGAGUGUUACAUGAAUUCAGAGAGACCAUGGUUACAGUUACACAAGAAAUCAGAUAUGACAGGUGGAGUGUUACACACAACUUCAGAGACAUCACAGGGAGUGUGACACACGAAGUCAGAGAUGACAUAGGGAGUGUUAUGCAUGAAGUCACAGACACCAUGGGGAGUGUUACACACAGAGUCAAAGAUGCCAGGUGGAGUGUGAGACUCAAAAUCAGAGAUGAGAGGGUGAUUGUCAGACAUGAUUCAGAGAUGCCAUGAGAUGUGUGACACACAAAGUCAGAAGACCACUGAGAGAGUGAUGCAAGAAUUCAGAGAUGCCAAGGGAGUGUGACACAUUAAAUCAGAGAUGCCAGGGCAAGUGUGACUCACAAUCUCAGAGACAAUGGGGGAGUGUCACACAUAAAGUCAGAGAUGCCGGGGGAGUGCUACACAUGAAGUUAGAGACAGCAGGGGAGUGUUACACACAUUUAGUGUUACACAGGAAGUACAAGACAAAAGCAGAUUGAGACAUAGGAAAUCAGAGACUCCAAGGGGUGUUGUACACAUGACAUCAGAGUCACCAUGUGAAGUGUGAGAUGAGAUGACAGAGACAACAAGGGGAAUGUGACAUACAAAGUCAGAGACCACAGGUGAAAUCUGAAUUGUGAAGUCAGAAUCACCAGGAAUAGUGUUAAACAGGAAUUCUGAGACACCAGGGAGCGUGUGAUUCAUGAAGUUAGAGAUGCCAAUGUAGUGUUACUCAUGGUGUCACAGAUGCCAAGGGAGUGUUACACACAAAGUCAGAGACACCAUGGGGAGUGUUACAUGUGUCGACGAAAAUAAUCCAUAACCAAUCUAUAAAUGAAAAUUUGGGUGAGUUUAUUCUGAGCUUAAAUCUGAGGAUUAUAACCGGGGCCUUUCUUCCUGAAGGAAGAAAGGGCACCAAAGAAGUGGGGUGCACAGACUGGUUAUAUACCCCCAGGGAGGAUGUUUCACAUAGGAUUGAAAUGUCCCUUUUACAAUAGUCGUGAGACUGCUCUGUCGGCACAGCGAUUGCUGGAAACAGCAGGUAGGUCUUCUGCCUCAGUGAACGCCGCAGGGUGGCAGUCUGUUGUCUCCAGCUGAGUGGUGACAGGUGAGCUGGGUGGUCAAAGGUGAGUGCAGCAAUCAGUUCCCAGCCUAAGGAAAAAUGCUUAUCCUUAAGGAAAUGCUAAUGUGCGGGGAAGUUACAUCUUUAUCUCAAGGGCCUUUGUUCUGGCCAUAAGAAAUGUCUAAGUGGAUAUACAAUGCAUGCUCAACAGCCACGGUCAGGUCCUUUUGGAAAAAACAAAGUCAGGCCGAAUUAGGUUUAUACCAAAUGACUUCCUCAUAUACUCCAAUAUAUCCUAUUGCUUGCCAUUUUUAUUUGUCAUUUUCCCCUUUUGAUCUCUAAUCUUUCGAUAGAAAGCAUUGAUGAUCAAAACAUUGUCCCUCAGCGCCAGGGUGGCUGCUGCCUGCCCUGGGUCCAUCAUGUCCCUCUGUGCUAGAC